Molecule: long non-coding RNA, 1614 nt
Filed under: Haliotis rufescens (red abalone)
Lineage: Eukaryota; Metazoa; Mollusca; Gastropoda; Lepetellida; Haliotidae
Description: uncharacterized LOC124144518
Source: RNAcentral
GUUCAUCACGAGGCUCUCAGUUGCUGUGAUAUCCAGGAAUGGGGGCCGGUCGAGGAGUAAUCCUCAUCUUGUUUGCCAUAAUAGUGGAUUUAAAGGCAGACAAGUGUAAUGGAUCAUCGCCAGAUUGUCAGGGAUGUUGCCGCGACGAUGGCAGCUGUUGUAUCCGUAUGCAGUGGGUUCUCGUCGGAGUCUCUGGCUCGGUCGCUUCCCUCGUUGUUUUAUGCCUCGUCUCUGCCUGUAUAUCUAGACACUGCCAACACUCCCCAAGAGCAUCCUUCUCUAAGAUAUAAUAUGUGUACCAUGGGGACACACUGGAGUAAGUGAGUUGAAACCACUGCGCUGCGACCUUUAUCACUUUGGAUUUCUCCUAAAGCAAGCACGUACAUUUUACUGCAAUACUGGCACAAAUACCAAACCCAUUCACUCAGAAGAAAGAAGUUCAUAAAGGAUCUGAUUUUUACAACCGAAUUAAUUUCGGCGACUCUAAGUAUGCUUGCUGCACGCAAAGAUGAAACCACCAACCUGUGAAGAUAAAGAAAAGGGUUAGAGUUAGGGGAACUCCAUAAAGAAAACCAUGUUGGUGAUGAAUGCGCACUCGUGCUUUUAUAGAGGACCAGCAAACUAUUGACCAUGGGAGUAUAUGCUUAGUCCUUCCACCGGUGAAUGAAUGCUAGGAUGCGAAGAGCAUAUAUAUGUACAUGUAAAAACAAAAGUAAUAAGGUAGAGGUUGAAACUCAACAAGGAGAGCCAGCAGUUAAUUAGCCCUGAUUGGUGAUUAGCAAUCAUCUUCAUCUUGCCCAAUUAGCUUCCAUUUGCCCGUAACCAGCAGCUCUCACGGCUCUAUACUGUGGUCUUUGGGUUCGCGUGCUUUUCAGCAAGUCAACAGCCUCGAACCAAUCCAACAAGCGUAAAUCCAUCUAGGAAAUAAUAAAAUAGCAAAAAUCCCUUACCAUAUUCAUAAGAAUAAGUGGCCUGUUUCUAACGCUGCCUUUGGGUAAUAAAUUCAAACAAAGUAAUAUAACAAUAUAUCAAUUUAUUCUCAAAUUUACUUUAUUAAAUAGAACAAAAUAACUCAUAAUGUUCAAUGGACGAAGUACACCAAAGUGCACCUAUCCAGUCUCUGAAAACGCUUUACAAUACAACUACAUAUUUUUCAAAGCUCAGUUUCCCAAGAUGACUCAGACCAUAUCCGUGACAACCCAAGCCACAGCAUCCAGUGGGAUAAAGUCAAAGCCCUCACCACCAACCUCAAAGACUUCAAAAUCAGAAAGCUACAAGAAGCCAUCAACAUCAAAAGACUCCAAACGUCAAUCAACCGUGACCAAGGCUUUACAUACCCCCGGCGUACCAUCAAUCCAAUCCCCAAUCAGUCAUAAUCCUUUUGUUUAAAAACUAACUUCACCCUUUUGAUUAUAUUACUGAUUGGGCCGGUCAAUAUGUUUACUACCCUUUUGUGUACAUAACAGGCUUCUCCACUCCAGUGUAACUAUAUCUGAUAUCUACUCUGCUGUAUAACAAUUUAUACAGGGAUCUGCAACAGUACAAGCCAUGACUUGAUUCGGCAACAUAUAUUGACAAACUAAUUCUAACUUUUAUCAUGACGAUUGUCACUCA